Molecule: ribosomal RNA, 456 nt
Filed under: uncultured Streptococcus sp.
Lineage: Bacteria; Bacillati; Bacillota; Bacilli; Lactobacillales; Streptococcaceae
Description: bacterial SSU rRNA
Rfam family: Bacterial small subunit ribosomal RNA
Source: RNAcentral
GCACAAGCGGUGGAGCAUGUGGUUAAUUCGAAGCAACGCGAAGAACCUUACCAGGUCUUGACAUCCCGAUGCUAUUUCUAGAGAUAGAAAGUUACUUCGGUACAUCGGUGACAGGUGGUGCAUGGUUGUCGUCAGCUCGUGUCGUGAGAUGUUGGGUUAAGUCCCGCAACGAGCGCAACCCCUAUUGUUAGUUGCCAUCAUUCAGUUGGGCACUCUAGCGAGACUGCCGGUAAUAAACCGGAGGAAGUGGGGAUGACGUCAAAUCAUCAUGCCCUUUAUGUCCUGGGCUACACACGUGCUACAAUGGCCUGUACAAAGGGCGGCAAAGGGGCGACCCGGAGCAAAUCCCAAAAAACAGGUCUCAGUUCGGAUUGCAGGCUGCAAUUCGCCUGCAUGAAGGCGGAAUCGCUAGUAAUCGCAGGUCAGCAUACUGCGGUGAAUACGUUCCCGGGCCUU